This is a long non-coding RNA of Heterocephalus glaber (naked mole-rat), 478 nucleotides long. The record is from Ensembl. NCBI's taxonomy places the organism in Eukaryota, Metazoa, Chordata, Mammalia, Rodentia, Bathyergidae.
CUCUCUUUCUUUCUUUCCCAUACCGUCUCUCCAUGUAGCCCAGGUUGGCCUUGAACUUGGUGACAAUCCUCCUGCCUCAGCCUCCCCGAGUGCUAAGAUUGCAGGUGUGUGCUACCACACCCGGCUAAAACAACUCAUCUCUACAGCUGCAGUUGAGUCAGCUGCAGAGUACUUUGCCUUCGUAGCCACGUUGGAUUUGGCAGCUGGUGAUCACCAUGCCGGACUUGGGUGCUCUGAGGUCCCUGCCUCUUGCUCUGUCAUUCCUCAGUGCUCUUCACUCCCCGUGGCAGCAGGAGGCUCCCAGCACAGCAGGGAAGGUUUGGAGCUGGCUCCUUCGAUCGUAGACCUGUAGGCAUUUCCACUUACCCACCGACACCCAUAUAUGCGCAGCAGCCCCAAGGAAACCAAUCCCAACGAAACCAAAGACAGACUUUCAGGAACUCUUAUGAAACAAAUCGGGCCGUGACCUGUCAUUACA